This 73-nucleotide transfer RNA is filed under the name Trichonephila clavata. It matches the Rfam family "tRNA". From Rfam's summary of the family: Transfer RNA (tRNA) molecules are approximately 80 nucleotides in length. Their secondary structure includes four short double-helical elements and three loops (D, anti-codon, and T loops). Further hydrogen bonds mediate the characteristic L-shaped molecular structure. tRNAs have two regions of fundamental functional importance: the anti-codon, which is responsible for specific mRNA codon recognition, and the 3' end, to which the tRNAs corresponding amino acid is attached (by aminoacyl-tRNA synthetases). tRNAs cope with the degeneracy of the genetic code in two manners: having more than one tRNA (with a specific anti-codon) for a particular amino acid; and 'wobble' base-pairing, i.e. permitting non-standard base-pairing at the 3rd anti-codon position. The record is from Rfam by way of RNAcentral. Lineage: Eukaryota; Metazoa; Arthropoda; Arachnida; Araneae; Nephilidae.
GCCCUCGUGGCCUAAUGGAUAAGGCAUCGGUCUCUUAAGCCGGGGAUUGCGGGUUCGAAUCCCGCCAAGGGUA